GUUAUAGGGACAAGUGACUAAGUGCACAUGGUGGAUGCCUUGGCGAUAUCAGGCGAUGAAGGACGUAGUAGCUUGCGAUAAGCUGCGGGGAGUGAGCAAACACACAUUGAUCCGCAGAUUUCCGAAUGGGGAAACCCGGCCUUAGGGUCAUUUAACACUGAAUACAUAGGUGUUAAAAGCGAACGUGGCGAACUGAAACAUCUAAGUAGCUACAGGAAAAGAAAUCAACCGAGAUUCCCAAAGUAGUGGCGAGCGAAAUGGGAAGAGCCUGCAUGAUUUAGCAUCUUUGAUAAUAGAACGGAAUGGAAAGUCCGGCCAUAGAGGGUGAUAGCCCCGUAUAUAAAAUCAUCGGUGUGGAACUAAGUAUGCGACAAGUAGGGCGGGACACGUGAAAUCCUGUCUGAACAUGGGGGGACCAUCCUCCAAGGCUAAAUACUCGAUAUCGACCGAUAGUGAACCAGUACCGUGAGGGAAAGGCGAAAAGAACCCCGGGAGGGGAGUGAAAUAGAACCUGAAACCGUGUGCAUACAAACAGUAGGAGCGGACUUGUUCCGUGACUGCGUACCUUUUGUAUAAUGGGUCAGCGACUUACGUUCAGUGGCAAGCUUAACCGUUUAGGGAAGGCGCAGGGAAACCGAGUCCGAAUAGGGCGCCAUAGUCGCUGGGCGUAGACCCGAAACCAAGUGAUCUAUUCAUGGCCAGGAUGAAGGCAGGGUAACACCUGCUGGAGGUCCGAACCGACUAGUGUUGCAAAACUAGCGGAUGAGCUGUGGAUAGGGGUGAAAGGCUAAACAAACUUGGAAAUAGCUGGUUCUCCCCGAAAACUAUUUAGGUAGUGCCUCGUGUAUUGCUCGGGGGGGUAGAGCACUGUAAUGAUUGCGGGGGUAAACAGUCAGGAGGUUGGCUUAGAAGCAGCCACCCUUUAAAGAAAGCGUAAUAGCUCACUGAUCGAGUCGUCCUGCGCGGAAGAUGUAACGGGGCUAAGCCAGUAACCGAAGCUGCGGAUGCACGAAAGUGCGUGGUAGGGGAGCGUUCCGUAAGCCUGCGAAGGUGAGUUGUAAAGCUUGCUGGAGGUAUCGGAAGUGCGAAUGCUGACAUGAGUAGCGUUAAACAGGGUGAAAAGCCCUGUCGCCGUAAGCGCAAGGAUUCCUACGCAACGUUCAUCGGCGUAGGGUGAGUCGGCCCCUAAGGCGAGGGCGAAAGCCGUAGUCGAUGGGAAGCAGGUUAAUAUUCCUGCACCGAUCUGGAAUGCGAUGGGGGGACGGAUCGCGAAAUGUAGUCCGGGUGUUGGAUGUCCCGGUUGUUGCUCCGUAGGUGGUCAGUAGGCAAAUCCGCUGACCGUAUGCCAAGGGAGUGAGAGGAGCGAGCUUGCUCGCGAACCUACAAGAAGUGGUUCCAGGAAAAGCCUCUAAGCUUCAGUUUCAGAUUGACCGUACCGCAAACCGACACUGGUGCGCGAGAUGAGUAUUCUCAGGCGCUUGAGAGAACCCAGGAGAAGGAACUCGGCAAAUUGAUACCGUAACUUCGGGAGAAGGUAUGCCUUUGUAGCUUGACUGUGAACAACAGGAGGGCGAAGAGGUUGCAAAAAAUCGGUGGCUGCGACUGUUUAUUAAAAACACAGCACUCUGCAAACACGAAAGUGGACGUAUAGGGUGUGACGCCUGCCCGGUGCCGGAAGGUUAA
This 1683-nucleotide ribosomal RNA is filed under the name Betaproteobacteria bacterium. RNAcentral's name for it is "partial 23S ribosomal RNA". It matches the Rfam family "Bacterial large subunit ribosomal RNA", at positions 1 to 1880 of the family's 2925-position model. Lineage: Bacteria; Pseudomonadati; Pseudomonadota; Betaproteobacteria. The record is from RNAcentral.